UACGUAGGGUGCGAGCGUUAAUCGGAAUUACUGGGCGUAAAGCGUGCGCAGGCGGUCUGUUAAGACAGAUGUGAAAUCCCCGGGCUUAACCUGGGAACUGCGUUUGAAACUGGGAGGCUCGAGUGCGGCAGAGGGGGGUGGAAUUCCACGUGUAGCAGUGAAAUGCGUAGAUAUGUGGAGGAACACCGAUGGCGAAGGCAGCCCCCUGGGCCUGCACUGACGCUCAUGCACGAAAGCGUGGGGAGCAAACAGG
RNAcentral lists this ribosomal RNA (253 nucleotides) under uncultured bacterium. RNAcentral's name for it is "partial 16S ribosomal RNA". It matches the Rfam family "Bacterial small subunit ribosomal RNA", at positions 524 to 776 of the family's 1533-position model. The record is from RNAcentral.